UUUCCGUAGGUGAACUGCGAAGGAUCAUUAAAAAUUGACUCCAUUGGUGAGUUCAUUAAUAAUCCUACCUUGUGAAUUUGUUUGUUUGAAUAAUUUUUUUCCAAAAAAUUAUUGAAUGUCUUUCCUGUUUUGGUGGAGCUUGUAAAGUGAAACCAGGCAGGGAAUGGCAACAAUAAUUAUUUUGAAAAAGACUUUUUUAAAAUUAAACUUUUGUAUUCAUUGUCUAAAUUAUUUUAUAAUAUAAAAACACUUUUGACAAUGGAUCUCUUGUUCUCGCAACGAUGAAGAACGCAGCAAAAUGCGAUAAGUAGUGUGAAUUGCAGAAUACGUGAAUCAUCGAAUCUUCGAACGCAUAUUGCACUUUUUAGUUUACUAAAAAGUAUGUCUGUUUGAGUAUCAGUAAAAUAUUCUCAUAAAAAUUUAUUUUUUAUGGUAUGAUGUUUACAACGAUAAAGUUGUUUCACUUAAAUUCUUGUUAUCAAAAAAUCAUUAAAGCUAAUUUAAAGAUUUUUAAAUUGAAUAAAAUUUUCCCGUAAAAAGGAAUAACCUAAACAAUUUAAAAAUUAAAAUUGUUUGAUUUUCUUGAUUUAAAAGGAAAAAAGUAAAAAUUAACUUGAUCUCAAAUCAGAUAAGAGUACCGCUGAACUUAAGCAUAUCAAUAAGCGGAGGAAAAGAACUAACUAGGAUUCCUCAGUAACGGCGAGUGAAGCGGAAGAGCUCAAAUUUGAAAUCUUCAAGGUUUACCUUGACGAAUUGUAGUUUAAAGAAGUGUUUCUGUUGGAGUUUUGGUAAAGUUCUUUGGAAAAGACAUCAUAGAGGUGAGAAUCCCGUAUUUGACCAUUAUCUCCAGCUUUGUGAUACACUUUCAAAGAGUCGAUGUUUGGGAAUGCAGUCCAAAUGGUGGUAAAUUUCAUCUAAAGCUAAUACUGGCGAGAGACGAUAGCGAACAAGUACGUGAGGGAAAGAUGAAAGAACUUUGAAAAGAGUUAAACAGUACGUGAAAUUGUCAAAAGGGAAGCGUUGACACCAGUGUUGUUUUCUCGAAAAUCAAUUAAAAAGCGGAUUUGUGUGUAUGACUUUAUCAGCUUUCUGCACUUUUUCUUGUCUUUUUGGUGCACUUUUCGUUUAACAAGUCAACUCAAUUUCUUUGUUGUAAAGGUCAUUGGAAGGUGGCUUCUUUCGGAGAAAGUGUUUAUAGCUUUGCCUCUGCAAUCGGAGAGAUUGAGUCUGCAGCGUAGAUCCUUCGGGUUAGAUACAUUUGUGCUAAGUUAUAGCCUUUCAUAGACAGCUUGUUGACUAUGAUCAGUCAUGUAGCUUACUCGCUUAUGCUAUUUACCUACGCUUAGGAUGUUG
RNAcentral lists this unclassified non-coding RNA (1353 nucleotides) under uncultured Neocallimastigales. RNAcentral's name for it is "partial contains small subunit ribosomal RNA, internal transcribed spacer 1, 5.8S ribosomal RNA, internal transcribed spacer 2, and large subunit ribosomal RNA". The stretch from base 615 to 1353 matches the Rfam family "Eukaryotic large subunit ribosomal RNA", at positions 1 to 631 of the family's 3401-position model. The record is from RNAcentral. Lineage: Eukaryota; Fungi; Neocallimastigomycota; Neocallimastigomycetes; Neocallimastigales.